This 253-nucleotide ribosomal RNA is filed under the name uncultured bacterium. RNAcentral describes it as "partial 16S ribosomal RNA". It matches the Rfam family "Bacterial small subunit ribosomal RNA", at positions 524 to 776 of the family's 1533-position model. The record is from RNAcentral.
UACGGGGGGGGCAAGCGUUGUUCGGAAUUACUGGGCGUAAAGGGCUCGUAGGCGGCCAACUAAGUCAGACGUGAAAUCCCUCGGCUCAACCGGGGAACUGCGUCCGAUACUGGUGGGCUCGAAUCCGGGAGAGGGAUGUGGAAUUCCAGGUGUAGCGGUGAAAUGCGUAGAUAUCUGGAGGAACACCGGUGGCGAAGGCGACUACCUGGCCUGUUCUUGACGCUGAGGCGCGAAAGCUAGGGGAGCAAACGGG